UUAAGUUAUUAAGGGCGCACGGUGGAUGCCUUGGCACUAGAAGCCGAUGAAGGACGUUACUAACGACGAUAUGCUUUGGGGAGCUGUAAGUAAGCUUUGAUCCAGAGAUUUCCGAAUGGGGAAACCUAGCAUGAGUUAUGUCAUGUUAUCGAUAUGUGAAUACAUAGCAUAUCAGAAGGCACACCCGGAGAACUGAAACAUCUUAGUACCCGGAGGAAGAGAAAGAAAAUUCGAUUCCCUUAGUAGCGGCGAGCGAAACGGGAAGAGCCCAAACCAACAAGCUUGCUUGUUGGGGUUGUAGGACACUCUAUACGGAGUUACAAAGGACGACAUUAGACGAAUCAUCUGGAAAGAUGAAUCAAAGAAGGUAAUAAUCCUGUAGUCGAAAAUGUUGUCUCUCUUGAGUGGAUCCUGAGUACGACGGAGCACGUGAAAUUCCGUCGGAAUCUGGGAGGACCAUCUCCUAAGGCUAAAUACUCUCUAGUGACCGAUAGUGAACCAGUACCGUGAGGGAAAGGUGAAAAGCACCCCGGAAGGGGAGUGAAAUAGAACCUGAAACCGUGUGCUUACAAGUAGUCAGAGCCCGUUAAUGGGUGAUGGCGUGCCUUUUGUAGAAUGAACCGGCGAGUUACGAUUUGAUGCAAGGUUAAGCAGUAAAUGUGGAGCCGUAGCGAAAGCGAGUCUGAAUAGGGCGUUUAGUAUUUGGUCGUAGACCCGAAACCAGGUGAUCUACCCUUGGUCAGGUUGAAGUUCAGGUAACACUGAAUGGAGGACCGAACCGACUUACGUUGAAAAGUGAGCGGAUGAACUGAGGGUAGCGGAGAAAUUCCAAUCGAACCUGGAGAUAGCUGGUUCUCUCCGAAAUAGCUUUAGGGAUAGCCUCAAGUGAUGAUUAUUGGAGGUAGAGCACUGUUUGGACGAGGGGCCCCUCUCGGGUUACCGAAUUCAGACAAACUCCGAAUGCCAAUUAAUUUAACUUGGGAGUCAGAACAUGGGUGAUAAGGUCCGUGUUCGAAAGGGAAACAGCCCAGACCACCAGCUAAGGUCCCAAAAUAUAUGUUAAGUGGAAAAGGAUGUGGCGUUGCCCAGACAACUAGGAUGUUGGCUUAGAAGCAGCCAUCAUUUAAAGAGUGCGUAAUAGCUCACUAGUCGAGUGACACUGCGCCGAAAAUGUACCGGGGCUAAACAUAUUACCGAAGCUGUGGAUUGUCCUUUGGACAAUGGUAGGAGAGCGUUCUAAGGGCGUUGAAGCAUGAUCGUAAGGACAUGUGGAGCGCUUAGAAGUGAGAAUGCCGGUGUGAGUAGCGAAAGACGGGUGAGAAUCCCGUCCACCGAUUGACUAAGGUUUCCAGAGGAAGGCUCGUCCGCUCUGGGUUAGUCGGGUCCUAAGCUGAGGCCGACAGGCGUAGGCGAUGGAUAACAGGUUGAUAUUCCUGUACCACCUAUAAUCGUUUUAAUCGAUGGGGGGACGCAGUAGGAUAGGCGAAGCGUGCGAUUGGAUUGCACGUCUAAGCAGUAAGGCUGAGUAUUAGGCAAAUCCGGUACUCGUUAAGGCUGAGCUGUGAUGGGGAGAAGACAUUGAGUCUUCGAGUCGUUGAUUUCACACUGCCGAGAAAAGCCUCUAGAUAGAAAAUAGGUGCCCGUACCGCAAACCGACACAGGUAGUCAAGAUGAGAAUUCUAAGGUGAGCGAGCGAACUCUCGUUAAGGAACUCGGCAAAAUGACCCCGUAACUUCGGGAGAAGGGGUGCUCUUUAGGGUUAACGCCCAGAAGAGCCGCAGUGAAUAGGCCCAAGCGACUGUUUAUCAAAAACACAGGUCUCUGCUAAACCGUAAGGUGAUGUAUAGGGGCUGACGCCUGCCCGGUGCUGGAAGGUUAAGAGGAGUGGUUAGCUUCUGCGAAGCUACGAAUCGAAGCCCCAGUAAACGGCGGCCGUAACUAUAACGGUCCUAAGGUAGCGAAAUUCCUUGUCGGGUAAGUUCCGACCCGCACGAAAGGCGUAACGAUUUGGGCACUGUCUCAACGAGAGACUCGGUGAAAUCAUAGUACCUGUGAAGAUGCAGGUUACCCGCGACAGGACGGAAAGACCCCGUGGAGCUUUACUGUAGCCUGAUAUUGAAAUUCGGCACAGCUUGUACAGGAUAGGUAGGAGCCUUUGAAACGUGAGCGCUAGCUUACGUGGAGGCGCUGGUGGGAUACUACCCUAGCUGUGUUGGCUUUCUAACCCGCACCACUUAUCGUGGUGGGAGACAGUGUCAAGCGGGCAGUUUGACUGGGGCGGUCGCCUCCUAAAAGGUAACGGAGGCGCUCAAAGGUUCCCUCAGAAUGGUUGGAAAUCAUUCAUAGAGUGUAAAGGCAUAAGGGAGCUUGACUGCGAGACCUACAAGUCGAGCAGGGUCGAAAGACGGACUUAGUGAUCCGGUGGUUCCGCAUGGAAGGGCCAUCGCUCAACGGAUAAAAGCUACCCCGGGGAUAACAGGCUUAUCUCCCCCAAGAGUUCACAUCGACGGGGAGGUUUGGCACCUCGAUGUCGGCUCAUCGCAUCCUGGGGCUGUAGUCGGUCCCAAGGGUUGGGCUGUUCGCCCAUUAAAGCGGUACGCGAGCUGGGUUCAGAACGUCGUGAGACAGUUCGGUCCCUAUCCGUCGUGGGCGUAGGAAAUUUGAGAGGAGCUGUCCUUAGUACGAGAGGACCGGGAUGGACAUACCUCUGGUGUACCAGUUGUCGUGCCAACGGCAUAGCUGGGUAGCUAUGUGUGGACGGGAUAAGUGCUGAAAGCAUCUAAGCAUGAAGCCCCCCUCAAGAUGAGAUUUCCCAACUUCGGUUAUAAGAUCCCUCAAAGAUGAUGAGGUUAAUAGGUUCGAGGUGGAAGCAUGGUGACAUGUGGAGCUGACGAAUACUAAUCGAUCGAAGACUUAAUCAA
RNAcentral lists this ribosomal RNA (2921 nucleotides) under Staphylococcus aureus DAR5842. RNAcentral's name for it is "bacterial LSU rRNA". It matches the Rfam family "Bacterial large subunit ribosomal RNA". RNAcentral also lists the same sequence under 1 other name. The record is from RNAcentral. Lineage: Bacteria; Bacillati; Bacillota; Bacilli; Caryophanales; Staphylococcaceae.